CUGACACCCUCAGUCAUAGAGCAGCUUUUUGCAUGUGAUUGGGGAAUAGAGAGUCUUGCUUGGAUUUCCAGCCACAUGGAUGUUAAAGAAGAAGAAAAAAAAUGGAAGUAACCUUCCACCUAUUUCAUAGCAUGCUCUGAAAAGCAAGCACCAUCCCAAUGGAGACUAGAGGUUUACCAGUAAAAGGUAAUCAGGGCAAGUCCCAAGAUCUUUAAAGAUCCCGAGCACUUUUAAGAAAGAAUCAAGUAUGUGAUUCAACGUCUCUGGCAGAACACCAGACACGUAAAUGCCCUCUGCCCCCCGCUUACCCAGAGCCAUCGGCAGGAUAAAAGACUGAGCUAUCUCGAAGUGCCGCAAUACAAGAUGUAACAGCUUCCUACCAACUUGGAAAUGAUGCAUUUUGGGUGAAGUCUGGAUGCAUUUCUUUUUUCCUUUUUUUCUUGCAAUAUUUUGUCAUUCUGUAAGCUCUUGUUUCCCUGGAUAUACUGUGAAUUUGAGAGUCCUGGCCCUUCUUUCCAGUUCUGGGUGAAGGCAGAGUUAAAAUGAAUAUUAAGCUUGUCAAAUUCUUUCAAUUAAUGUGUCUUCUAACAAAAGAACAGGUUACACAGAUGUUCUGAAGAGAAGUUUAAUUUAAACUAUCAGGUUUACCUUGUUUAUUCAAGAACCAGAUGCAACUUCAGUGAAACUUUUAUCAUUCCCUAAGAAUAUCAGAAGAUCUUCUUCAGCCUCUACAAGACCACAGUGUUUCCAGUAAGUGAAAACUUAAUUUUGACUAAGAAUAUUCUGGGUACCAUAAGAGGAUCUUCAAGCAACGCACAACCCAGGAAAGGAUGUGGAAUUACCAAGAGAGGAUAAUGGCUCUGUCCUCUUCAGCAAACAGCGUUGAGAUCUGCUGAUGAAAAGCACUAGAUAAGAGUGAGGUACUAUCUAUGCCAACAGUCAAAUCAGACAGCAUCAUGUAGAAUCUGUUUACUUUUAUAGUGAAAUAUAUUAGACUGUCAAAAGGACACUUCAUCAUCUAUAAUAAAUAUUCAUCUACAUGUAUCAUGUACUUGAGCUGCAUGAAUGAUGAGAUUAGAGUACAGAAAUGAAUGAGAAACUCAUAAGAUAAAU
This is a long non-coding RNA of Gallus gallus (chicken), 1113 nucleotides long. The record is from Ensembl. Lineage: Eukaryota; Metazoa; Chordata; Aves; Galliformes; Phasianidae.